Long non-coding RNA from Apis mellifera (honey bee), 664 nucleotides. RefSeq lists it as uncharacterized. The record is from RefSeq and is a predicted model, not a curated record. The transcript is spliced from 3 exons. Lineage: Eukaryota; Metazoa; Arthropoda; Insecta; Hymenoptera; Apidae.
GAUAAUAGAAUAAUGAUAAAAAUCAUAUUUAAUAUUAUAAUUAUAAAAAUUACAAUUUAUUAUCGCAUGUAAUUUAAGACAUGGGUCUCAAUAGGCGGCGUAGCAAUCGUAUCAUGUUAUUUCAUGUCUAGUUAGUUCUUCUUCUAUUACUCUCAAAUAAAAAUAUGAAGCAAUAGAGUUUACUGUUAACUAAAAUCUGGAAUAAACUUGUGAUAUACUAAAGAAAAAAUUCAAUCUGAAUUUUAAAUGAAUAAAAUUGUAAUAAUUUGAAACAUGGUUUUGCUAAAAAUAUAUCAUGUAUCUAAUUGUAUGGAAUUAAUGCAACAAAAAAAUGUUGUAUGUAUGUGAAUAUCUGAUCGCCAUAUUUGAAAAAAAUUUGAAAAAUAUUUAAGUUCUUAUGGAUUGAUUCCAACAAGGAUAAACUAUAAACUAUAAACUCCAAAAAUUAUAAAAUUUGAGUUUAUAUGUGUAUUUGAUGUCUUAAAUAUUAAAUUAAUGUUAGAUUAUUUUCAAAAGAAAUGAUAUGGUCUAUUAUUUUUGAAAAAUUAAUAAAAGAGUAUCGAGCAUUAGAAAAUAUGAAUGGAAUUCAGAAACAUAUGUAAUAUAUACAUAUAAUCGAGUGAGUAAACGCUUGAAUAUUUAUUUUGUUAUUAUAUUAUUAUAA